GGGGGCGACAUGGUUUCGACGUCGGUUACAAACCCAAAGGUGCAUGUCGAGAGUGAUGCGUGAUCUCGUUAAUCCCCCGCAUCAAUUUUAUAGUCCAGCCUAAACCGCUGCUAGUGUGCUGCCCUCAGGUUGCUUGUAGCCAGAGAUUCUGCAGUAUCAUAAAUUACAAGAUGCUAACUGAUGCCCCGCCUAGGGAUAAGGUUAUAAGAUUAAGUAGGCUCGCCAUUAACACCCUGUCCUUCGGGCGGUUCGUGGUCAAAUAAUAGAAGUGACUAUGCAUGUAGAGCCGAUGGCAGAGGACUGACGGACGGGGGUUCGACCCCCCCCGCCUCCACCA
This 337-nucleotide transfer-messenger RNA is filed under the name Marinomonas arctica. It matches the Rfam family "transfer-messenger RNA". Rfam says of the family: Bacterial tmRNA, also known as 10Sa RNA or SsrA, is named for its dual tRNA and mRNA-like properties. Its role is to liberate the mRNA from a stalled ribosome. Lineage: Bacteria; Pseudomonadati; Pseudomonadota; Gammaproteobacteria; Oceanospirillales; Oceanospirillaceae. The record is from RNAcentral.